CAAGUUAGAGCUUGAAGUUAAGCUAUUUAUUUACAAUAAAUUGAUUGUUUUCGUAAAACAUAAUUUGA
This 68-nucleotide transfer RNA is filed under the name Tomocerus caputiviolaceus. Its description in RNAcentral is "tRNA-Val". The record is from RNAcentral. Lineage: Eukaryota; Metazoa; Arthropoda; Collembola; Entomobryomorpha; Tomoceridae.